Molecule: long non-coding RNA, 1997 nt
Organism: Cucumis sativus (cucumber)
Lineage: Eukaryota; Viridiplantae; Streptophyta; Magnoliopsida; Cucurbitales; Cucurbitaceae
Exons: 2
Source: RefSeq, a predicted model, not a curated record
AACAAAGCCAUAAGAAUGUGAGAUAACUUUAUUCAUCAAUCCAUUUCAUCAUAUCAUGCAACAUUGACCUGUCCAGUCAAUUAGAACUUGAAACAAAAAUUACAUCAAUUGUGGUUAGCUUUAUAAUUUAUAAAUAUAUCGAAGAAAAGAAAAGAUCCUGCAGAUAUAAUUCUAGUUUUCUAAAUCAGAAAUAAACUCUAGCGAUUCUAAUUAAGACGAUCGACAAAUUGCUUGAGAAGCGAUUCCGUGAUGAAAUUGUAAGCUGCUUCAAUGGGAUGAACGCUAUCCCAAAACAUAAAUUUUGAUGGGUUUUCACAUAUUGCACUUGUUUUACUGUUACAUAGAGGUCCUGCUUCCGCCAUCCCAGUACCACAGCAGCCUACGUUAACGUGCUCAAAACCUGUUCGAGAAAAUGUCCCAACGAGAAAAUUCAGGUAAGGAUGCGAUUCGAUACUUGGUUGUGUCCUUAAAUGAUUUAUUGGCUUACCGUAAUUGUGAGGAUUAUUGACCAUGUCGAUGAGGGGAGUGUAAAUGUCACCAUAUAGAAUUGUGCUUCCAGGAAGCUGUGGCUGUAAAUUGCUAAGCAGAUGUGCAAGCUUCUGAUUGUAGGCUUUGAAAUCUGAGUUUUGUUCUUCCAAACAUUUUCGAUCUUGGGGUUUUUGAAAUGCUAUGCUCUCUUGAAUGGGAAGGCAACCAACUGGAGGAAGCCCAGCUACCACUAUAGUGCGACAUCCAAGUUGCACAAACACUUCAUAUUGGGCAAAGUGUUCGUGUCAAACACAUACAUGUCCGGACAUGCUUCGGGUACGUGCCCGACAAGCAAAUUUGUGUGUCCUAUUAUUUAUUUAUUAAUUUCAUACGCGUGGGACAUAUUUAGGAUAGGCCAACUUUUCAUGUUAGACUCAAGUUUAAAGCUCAAAUCAAUAAUAUGUUAAAUUUAAGGUAACCCCAUUUCUUUUAACCAAAAAAAGAAAAGUAAAUUUGAAACCUAAACAUUUCAUCUCCUAUAAUUAUUGAUUAACUUGGCAUUUUAUGAUUUUUUAAGUGGAGUUGCAUUUAGUAUUUUAUAUGCUAAAUUUAUAUACAUGCUAAAAAAGUAACAAUAAAAAGAGUCGUGUCCAUGUUUGUGCAUCUUAGUCGUUCUUUAUUUUUAUGUCAAAUAUUGAUUUAGAACUAUGGAGAAUGCCUAUCAUAUAACUUACCUUGAUCAAGCUUUGUAGUCUGUUCUGUACAAAAUCUUGGUAACCACUAAUAUUAUACUGUAGCUGCCUUAUGGGAAGGUCAUAGAAAUUGAUGUUUACGUCAUUGGUUCCUGCACUAAUAACAACCAAAGCACUAUUAAGGAUUUUCCUACUUUCAUCCACGCCUACUAUCCCUUGAAGCCUUCGAGUGUAAUUCUUGAACAUAUCAAUUUGCUUCAUCACAGAAAUUACAUUGGAUACAGAAGCAGUGAGUUCGUCGAAUCCCGAGCCGGCAGAUGCAAAACCGACUCGGUUUUCACAUCGUUGUCCACAAUUUAGGAUCUAAAAAUGGAGGAACAAGCUCCUUUAUCCCUAAUUUAGAGGCCACCAUAUCAGGAAUGAGUUUUCCAUCGCUGAACCUUCUAGUAGCAACAUGGCCAGGAAAAUCUGUGCCAUAUGGAGAGUAAUUGGCCUUAAAAAUUGUUGAAAUGAAGUUAUUAUUUCCAGUAUCUACUGUGGAAUCACCAAAUAUGAGAAUGGAAAGAAAAGAUCGAGUAAUUUUUGGCUCUAAAGCAGUGCAUGGUUUGCUAAGAAAUAGCAGCCAAAUCAUGUGGAGUGAUAGAGAAGCAAUAUGGUAAGUUGCUUUUGCCAUUGUUGGUGUUCUUCAAGUUAUUGUGUUUGAUAUAUUCAUGUUGCACACUGGUUGAUGUAUUUAUAAUGUUUGAAGGACAUAUGACUAAGCUCAUUGUGAUUUUUACAAAGAAACUGUUGAAACGAAUGAUAAUUCUUUUACUAAAAGGCUGAGUUAUUCUAUAA